UACGUAGGGUGCGAGCGUUGUCCGGAAUUAUUGGGCGUAACGAGCUCGUAGGCGGCUUGUCGCGUCGGUUGUGAAAGCCCGGGGCUUAACUCCGGGUCUGCAGUCGAUACGGGCAGGCUAGAGUGUGGUAGGGGAGAUCGGAAUUCCUGGUGUAGCGGUGAAAUGCGCAGAUAUCAGGAGGAACACCGGUGGCGAAGGCGGAUCUCUGGGCCAUUACUGACGCUGAGGAGCGAAAGCGUGGGGAGAGAACAGG
Molecule: ribosomal RNA, 253 nt
Filed under: uncultured bacterium
Lineage: Bacteria
Description: partial 16S ribosomal RNA
Rfam family: Bacterial small subunit ribosomal RNA
Source: RNAcentral